Molecule: small nuclear RNA, 157 nt
Filed under: Meriones unguiculatus (Mongolian gerbil)
Lineage: Eukaryota; Metazoa; Chordata; Mammalia; Rodentia; Muridae
Description: U1 spliceosomal RNA (ENSMUGG00000026625.1)
Rfam family: U1 spliceosomal RNA
About the family: U1 is a small nuclear RNA (snRNA) component of the spliceosome (involved in pre-mRNA splicing). Its 5' end forms complementary base pairs with the 5' splice junction, thus defining the 5' donor site of an intron.
Source: RNAcentral
AUACUUAACUGGAGGGAAGAUCUUGUGGCCGAGAAAGUCAUUUCCCAGAGUCAGACUUAUCUUUUGCACGUGGGAUGUGCUGAUCCACAACUUUCCCAAACACAGGAAACUCAGCUGCAUACUUUGUGGUAGAAGGUUGUGUUCACAUGAUUGCCCU